RNAcentral lists this ribosomal RNA (301 nucleotides) under uncultured bacterium. Its description in RNAcentral is "partial 16S ribosomal RNA". It matches the Rfam family "Bacterial small subunit ribosomal RNA", at positions 509 to 807 of the family's 1533-position model. The record is from RNAcentral.
CAGUCGCCGCGGUAAUACGUAGGGUGCGAGCGUUAAUCGGAUUUACUGGGCGUAAAGCGUGCGCAGGCGGCCCGUUAAGACAGGUGUGAAAUCCCUGGGCUCAACCUAGGAAUUGCGCUUGUGACUGGCGGGCUCGAGUACGGUAGAGGGGGGUGGAAUUCCUGGUGUAGCAGUGAAAUGCGUAGAGAUCAGGAGGAACACCGAUGGCGAAGGCAGCCCCCUGGGCCUGUACUGACGCUCAUGCACGAAAGCGUGGGGAGCAAACAGGAUUAGAUACCCCCGUAGUCCCUGUCUCUUAUAC